This 551-nucleotide long non-coding RNA is filed under the name Pan troglodytes (chimpanzee). RNAcentral describes it as "long non-coding RNA NONPTRT012735". Lineage: Eukaryota; Metazoa; Chordata; Mammalia; Primates; Hominidae. The record is from RNAcentral.
GAUUACAGGCGUGAGCCACUGCGCCUGGCCUCUACUAAUUUCUAGCUUCUAACAUUGUAGAUUUGAAGUCAAAUGACAGAUUGUCUUUCUUCCUUUAUGAGUAAAUUUUUUUUCUGCCUCGAAGUUUUUAUGAGUUUUUCAUCAUUCUUGAAGUUAAAACCAUCGGGAAUUCAGUGAGCCCUUACAGUCUGCAGAUGCAUAUCUUUCUUCAGCUCAAGAUCAUUGAGAACAUCUUUGUUACUGGCACUGUCUACAUGGUAUUUUGAGCAGAGUUUUGCAGUGUUUCCAAGUGCUGCAGUUUCUUCCCACAGAGAGAUGGCCACUACAGACUCUAGCUGCCAGAAGAAUUUCCCCCAGAUCUGGAAAGUUUCUACAGUUGCUUACCUCGAAUAUUCACAUCCAGAGAGGUACUUCCUCCAAAGUGCGGUUUUCCAACAACUCCAUAAUGAUAACGUGGGAACUGGACCUGGCUCUGCCAACAGAUGUCAAUACUUUCAUGAUGAAGAGAAAUAGCGAUUCCUUCAUGAUCUGCUUCAAAAUAUUGGAAUAGA